RNAcentral lists this ribosomal RNA (455 nucleotides) under uncultured Alphaproteobacteria bacterium. RNAcentral describes it as "bacterial SSU rRNA". It matches the Rfam family "Bacterial small subunit ribosomal RNA", at positions 1077 to 1533 of the family's 1533-position model. The record is from RNAcentral. Lineage: Bacteria; Pseudomonadati; Pseudomonadota; Alphaproteobacteria.
UGGGUAGUCCGCACGAGCGCACCUUAUUUUAGUUGCCACCAUUUAGUUGAGCACUCUAAAAGAACUGCCAGUGAUAAGCUGGAGGAAGGCGGGGAUGACGUCAAGUCAGUAUGGCCCUUACACCCAGGGCUGCACACGUGCUACAAUGGCUACUACAGAAGGCAGCAAUACCGCGAGGUGGAGCAAAUCCGUUAAAAGUAGCCCCAGUUCGGAUUGGAGUCUGCAACUCGACUCCAUGAAGUCGGAAUCGCUAGUAAAGGCGUAUCAGCUACGACGCCUUGUAAUACGUUCCCGGGCCUUGUACACACCGCCCGUCACAUCAUGGGAGCCUGGUGCACCCGAAGCCGUCGUACCAACUGCUUGCAGAGGGAGACGUCGAAGGUGUGCCCGGUGACUGGGAUGAAGUCGUAACAAGGUAGCCGUUGGGGAACCAGCGGCUGGAUCACCUCCUUUCU